RNAcentral lists this long non-coding RNA (438 nucleotides) under Homo sapiens (human). RNAcentral's name for it is "non-protein coding lnc-IGLL1-1:43". The record is from RNAcentral. Lineage: Eukaryota; Metazoa; Chordata; Mammalia; Primates; Hominidae.
CAGGGUGGGAGGAAGCGCGUCCCAAGGCCCAGGAUCUGCGAGGCGACUUGGGGAAAACGCAGGACCUGCUGAAGCUCACACCCGUGGACCACCCAGACUGCCUGCCGCUACAGGAUGCCCUCCGCAUCUCCCAGGACUUCUUUCCGGCAUCAGUGUGGACAUUGACCCCACUGGACUGCAGUCACAGUGGACUCCCAAGGGGCAGAGAUGGGGUCUCUCUAUAUUGCCCAGGCCGGUGGUGAACUCCUGGGUUCAAGCCAUUCACCCACCUCGCCCUCUGGAAGUGCUGGGAUUAUAGGCAUGAGCCACUGCGCCUGGCCUUGGAUGAGUUCUUAUUCACCUUCCUGUCGGCCUCCACAUGAAGCUCCCCAAACCUUGUCCUCUUUGGUCUUGUAAAAAAAUAUAUAUAAUUAAAAAAUUAAAGACAGGGUCUUACUA